This 1017-nucleotide ribosomal RNA is filed under the name uncultured bacterium. Its description in RNAcentral is "bacterial SSU rRNA". It matches the Rfam family "Bacterial small subunit ribosomal RNA", at positions 355 to 1375 of the family's 1533-position model. The record is from RNAcentral.
UGAGGAAUAUUGGUCAAUGGGCGAGAGCCUGAACCAGCCAAGUAGCGUGAAGGAUGACUGCCCUAUGGGUUGUAAACUUCUUUUAUAAAGGAAUAAAGUCGGGUAUGGAUACCCGUUUGCAUGUACUUUAUGAAUAAGGAUCGGCUAACUCCGUGCCAGCAGCCGCGGUAAUACGGAGGAUCCGAGCGUUAUCCGGAUUUAUUGGGUUUAAAGGGAGCGUAGAUGGAUGUUUAAGUCAGUUGUGAAAGUUUGCGGCUCAACCGUAAAAUUGCAGUUGAUACUGGAUAUCUUGAGUGCAGUUGAGGCAGGCGGAAUUCGUGGUGUAGCGGUGAAAUGCUUAGAUAUCACGAAGAACUCCGAUUGCGAAGGCAGCCUGCUAAGCUGCAACUGAUAUUGAGGCUCGAAAGUGUGGGUAUCAAACAGGAUUAGAUACCCUGGUAGUCCACACGGUAAACGAUGAAUACUCGCUGUUUGCGAUAUACUGCAAGCGGCCAAGCGAAAGCGUUAAGUAUUCCACCUGGGGAGUACGCCGGCAACGGUGAAACUCAAAGGAAUUGACGGGGGCCCGCACAAGCGGAGGAACAUGUGGUUUAAUUCGAUGAUACGCGAGGAACCUUACCCGGGCUUAAAUUGCAGAUGAAUUACGGUGAAAGCCGUAAGCCGCAAGGCAUCUGUGAAGGUGCUGCAUGGUUGUCGUCAGCUCGUGCCGCGAGGUGUCGGCUUAAGUGCCAUAACGAGCGCAACCCUUGUUGUCAGUUACUAACAGGUUCCGCUGAGGACUCUGACAAGACUGCCAUCGUAAGAUGUGAGGAAGGUGGGGAUGACGUCAAAUCAGCACGGCCCUUACGUCCGGGGCUACACACGUGUUACAAUGGGGGGUACAGAGGGCCGCUACCACGCGAGUGGAUGCCAAUCCCCAAAACCUCUCUCAGUUCGGACUGGAGUCUGCAACCCGACUCCACGAAGCUGGAUUCGCUAGUAAUCGCGCAUCAGCCACGGCGCGGUGAAUACGUUCCC